RNAcentral lists this ribosomal RNA (845 nucleotides) under Zasmidium citrigriseum. RNAcentral's name for it is "eukaryotic LSU rRNA". It matches the Rfam family "Eukaryotic large subunit ribosomal RNA", at positions 61 to 942 of the family's 3401-position model. The record is from RNAcentral. Lineage: Eukaryota; Fungi; Ascomycota; Dothideomycetes; Mycosphaerellales; Mycosphaerellaceae.
GAAACCAACAGGGAUUGCCCUAGUAACGGCGAGUGAAGCGGCAACAGCUCAAAUUUGAAACCUGGCGCUUGCGUCCGGAUUGUAAUUUGUAGAGGAUGCUUCUGGGCAGCGGCCGUUCUAAGUUCCUUGGAACAGGACGUCAUAGAGGGUGAGAAUCCCGUAUGUGACCGGCGCGCACCCUCCACGUAGCUCCUUCGACGAGUCGAGUUGUUUGGGAAUGCAGCUCUAAAUGGGAGGUAAAUUUCUUCUAAAGCUAAAUAUUGGCCAGAGACCGAUAGCGCACAAGUAGAGUGAUCGAAAGAUGAAAAGCACUUUGGAAAGAGAGUUAAAAAGCACGUGAAAUUGUUGAAAGGGAAGCGCUUCCAACCAGACUCCGCGGCGGUGUUCCGCCGGUCUUCUGACCGGUCCACUCGCCGCCGUGGGGCCAACAUCGUCUGGGGCCGCCGGAUAAGACCGGAGGAAUGUAGCUCAUUGAGUGUUAUAGCCUCCGGUGAUGCGGCGCGUCCCGGGCGAGGUCCGCGCUUCGGCAAGGAUGUUGGCGUAAUGGUUGGCAGCGGCCCGUCUUGAAACACGGACCAAGGAGUCUAACAUCUAUGCGAGUGUUCGGGUGUCAAACCCCUACGCGUAAUGAAAGUGAACGGAGGUGGGAGCUUCGGCGCACCAUCGACCGAUCCUGAUGUCCUCGGAUGGAUUUGAGUAAGAGCAUAGCUGUUGGGACCCGAAAGAUGGUGAACUAUGCCUGAAUAGGGUGAAGCCAGAGGAAACUCUGGUGGAGGCUCGCAGCGGUUCUGACGUGCAAAUCGAUCGUCAAAUUUGGGUAUAGGGGCGAAAGACUAAUCGAACCA